This 252-nucleotide ribosomal RNA is filed under the name uncultured Gardnerella sp. RNAcentral describes it as "partial 16S ribosomal RNA". It matches the Rfam family "Bacterial small subunit ribosomal RNA", at positions 100 to 355 of the family's 1533-position model. The record is from RNAcentral. Lineage: Bacteria; Bacillati; Actinomycetota; Actinomycetes; Bifidobacteriales; Bifidobacteriaceae.
CGGGUAGAGUAAUGCGUGACCAACCUGCCCCAUGCUCCAGAAUAGCUCUUGGAAACGGGUGGUAAUGCUGGAUGCUCCAACUUGACGCAUGUCUUGUUGGGAAAGUGUUUAGUGGCAUGGGAUGGGGUCGCGUCCUAUCAGCUUGUAGGCGGGGUAAUGGCCCACCUAGGCUUCGACGGGUAGCGGCCUGAGAGGGCGGACGGCCACAUUGGGACUGAGAUACGGCCCAGACUCCUACGGGAGGCAGCAGCC